AGAGUUUGAUCAUGGCUCAGAUUGAACGCUGGCGGCAUGCCUUACACAUGCAAGUCGAACGGCAGCACGGGAGCUUGCUCCUGGUGGCGAGUGGCGAACGGGUGAGUAAUACAUCGGAACGUACCCUGAAGUGGGGGAUAACGUAGCGAAAGUUACGCUAAUACCGCAUAUUCUGUGAGCAGGAAAGAGGGGGAUCGCAAGACCUCUUGCUUUAGGAGCGGCCGAUGUCGGAUUAGCUAGUUGGUGAGGUAAAGGCUCACCAAGGCGACGAUCCGUAGCGGGUCUGAGAGGAUGAUCCGCCACACUGGGACUGAGACACGGCCCAGACUCCUACGGGAGGCAGCAGUGGGGAAUUUUGGACAAUGGGCGCAAGCCUGAUCCAGCCAUGCCGCGUGAGUGAAGAAGGCCUUCGGGUUGUAAAGCUCUUUCGGCGGGGAAGAAAUUGCACGGGUUAAUACCCUGUGUAGAUGACGGUACCCGAAUAAGAAGCACCGGCUAACUACGUG
This 506-nucleotide ribosomal RNA is filed under the name uncultured bacterium. Its description in RNAcentral is "bacterial SSU rRNA". It matches the Rfam family "Bacterial small subunit ribosomal RNA", at positions 8 to 507 of the family's 1533-position model. The record is from RNAcentral.